RNAcentral lists this ribosomal RNA (485 nucleotides) under uncultured cyanobacterium. Its description in RNAcentral is "bacterial SSU rRNA". It matches the Rfam family "Bacterial small subunit ribosomal RNA", at positions 8 to 522 of the family's 1533-position model. The record is from RNAcentral. Lineage: Bacteria; Bacillati; Cyanobacteriota.
AGAGUUUGAUCAUGGCUCAGGAUGAACGCUGGCGGUAUGCCUUACACAUGCAAGUCGAACGAAAAUUAGCUUCGGUUAAUUUUAGUGGCGGACGGGUGAGUAACACGUGAGAAUUUGCCUUUAGGAGGGGGAUAACGAGUGGAAACAUUCGCUAAAACCCCAUAUGCCCACGGGUGAAAAAGAGGAAACUCUGCCUGAAGAGAAGCUCGCGGCUGAUUAGCUAGUUGGUAGGGUAAUGGCCUACCAAGGCGACGAUCAGUAGCUGGUCUGAGAGGACGAUCAGCCACACUGGAACUGAGACACGGUCCAGACUCCUACGGGAGGCAGCAGUGAGGAAUUUUCUGCAAUGGGCGAAAGCCUGACAGAGCAAUACCGCGUGAGGGAUGAAGACUUACUGAGUUGUAAACCUCGGUGCCUUAAGGAAGAAGAUCUGACGGUACUUAAGGUGGAAAGCAUCGGCUACCUCCGUGCCAGCAGCCGCGGUA